AGCUCUGUGGUGUAUGACAUGUCGGAUUGCAAAUCCGAAGGUGCAGGUUUACCUCCUGCCGGGGCUU
Molecule: transfer RNA, 67 nt
Filed under: Gnathonemus petersii (elephantnose fish)
Lineage: Eukaryota; Metazoa; Chordata; Actinopteri; Osteoglossiformes; Mormyridae
Also listed under: 1 other name
Description: tRNA-Cys
Rfam family: tRNA
About the family: Transfer RNA (tRNA) molecules are approximately 80 nucleotides in length. Their secondary structure includes four short double-helical elements and three loops (D, anti-codon, and T loops).
Source: RNAcentral